GGAAAUAUUUGUUAUUUUCACCGGGUCGGACCCCCUUUUGCCUCCAGAACAGGCUACAUUUUUUGGGGCAUGGUAACAUUGCUCAGUUGAAAUCAUUCCCCACACCAUUACACCACCAACAGCCUGUACUGUUGACACCAGGCAGAUUGGGACCAUGGACUACUGCUACUUACGCCAAAUCCUGACUCUGCCAUCAGCAUGAUGCAACAUGAACCCGGAUUUGUCAGACCAGGCAAUGUUUCUCCGCUCCUCAAUUGUCCAGUGUUGGUGAUGGCGUGCCUACUGGAGCCGCUUCUUCUUGUUUUUCACUGAUAGGAGUGGAACCCGGUGUGGUCGUGACAGACUGACGAGUUGUGGGUUCCGAGAUGCCAUUCUGCACACCACUGUUGUACUGCAUCGUUAUUAGCCUGUUUGUGGCUCGCCUGUUUGUGGCUCGCCUGUUAGUUUGCACGAUUCUUGCCAUUCUCCUUUGACCUCUCAUCAAGGAGCUGUUUUUACCCACAGGACUGCCGCUGGCAGAAUGUAUUUUGUUUGUAGCACCAUUCUCAGUGAACCCUGGACAUGCGUGAAAAGCCCAGGAGGCCGGCCAAUGCUGAGAUACUGGAACCAGCACGCCUGGCACCGACAAUCAUACCACGCUCAAAGUCAAAGGUCACUCAUUUUGUCCAUUCUAGCGUUCAAUCAAACAGUAACUAAAUACCUUGAUGCCUGUCUGCCUGCUUUAUAUAACAAGCCACGUGACUCACUCUCUGUAGGAGUGAACCAUUUUCGUGAACGGGGUACCUAAUAAACUGUCCACUUGGUGUAUAUGUGUGUGUGCUUGCACGUGUGUGUGAGUGUGUGUGUUUGCAUAUGUGUGUGUAUGCAAGAGAGAGAGAAGCUGAUAGGAUAAAGGCCUAUACAGCCAGUAUAGCCAAGCCCUAAGCCUCCUCUAAUUAAGAGCUUUUCGUAUUAUCAAACUCAUCAUGAAUAUUAGUGUUACUUCCUACUAACCCACCACAUGGCAUUUACAUUCAAUAGUUAGACUGAAAGUCACUCUCAUUGCGUGAAGAGUAGGAGAAUGUUGGAGAGCGAGAGCAGGGAGGGGAAAGAGAGAGAGGGAGGUAGCAAGAUACAAGAGAGUGCGCGAGCGCGAGAGAAAGGGAGGUAGGGACAGAGAAGAGAGAAAGGGAGGUAGGUAGGGACAGAGAAGAGAGAAAGGGAGGUAUGGACAGAGAAGAGAGAAAGGGAGGUAGGGACAGAGAAGAGAGAAAGGUAUGUACGGACAGAGAAGAGAGAAAGGGAGGUACGGACAGAGAAGAGAGAAAGGGAAGUACGGACAGAGAAGAGAGAAAGGAGGUAGGGACAGAGAAGAGAGAAAGGGAGGUAGGGACAGAGAAGAGAGAAAGGGAGGUAUGGACAUAGAAGAGAGAAAGGGAGGUAGGGACAGAGAAGAGAGAAAGGGAGGUAUGGACAGAGAAGAGAGAAAGGGAGGUAGGGACAGAGAAGAGAGAAAGGGAGGUAUGGACAGAGAAGAGAGAAAGGGAGGUAUGGACAGAGAAGAGAGAAAGGGAGGUAGGGACAGAGAAGAGAGAAAGGGAGGUAAGGACAGAGAAGAGAGAAAGGGAGGUAGGGACAGAGAAGAGAGAAAGGGAGGUAUGGACAGAGAAGAGAGAAAGGGAG
This is a long non-coding RNA of Oncorhynchus tshawytscha (Chinook salmon), 1662 nucleotides long. The record is from Ensembl. Lineage: Eukaryota; Metazoa; Chordata; Actinopteri; Salmoniformes; Salmonidae.